This 439-nucleotide ribosomal RNA is filed under the name uncultured Bacillus sp. RNAcentral describes it as "bacterial SSU rRNA". It matches the Rfam family "Bacterial small subunit ribosomal RNA", at positions 338 to 768 of the family's 1533-position model. Lineage: Bacteria; Bacillati; Bacillota; Bacilli; Caryophanales; Bacillaceae. The record is from RNAcentral.
CCUACGGGUGGCAGCAGUAGGGAAUCUUCCGCAAUGGACGAAAGUCUGACGGAGCAACGCCGCGUGAGUGAUGAAGGUUUUCGGAUCGUAAAACUCUGUUGUUAGGGAAGAACAAGUACCGUUCGAAUAGGUCGGUACCUUGACGGUACCUAACCAGAAAGCCACGGCUAACUACGUGCCAGCAGCCGCGGUAAUACGUAGGUGGCAAGCGUUGUCCGGAAUUAUUGGGCGUAAAGCGCGCGCAGGCGGUUCCUUAAGUCUGAUGUGAAAGCCCACGGCUCAACCGUGGAGGGUCAUUGGAAACUGGGGAACUUGAGUACAGAAGAGGAGAGCGGAAUUCCACGUGUAGCGGUGAAAUGCGUAGAUAUGUGGAGGAACACCAGUGGCGAAGGCGGCUCUCUGGUCUGUAACUGACGCUGAGGCGCGAAAGCGUGGGGAG